RNAcentral lists this unclassified non-coding RNA (345 nucleotides) under soil metagenome. RNAcentral's name for it is "partial contains 5.8S ribosomal RNA, internal transcribed spacer 2, and large subunit ribosomal RNA". The stretch from base 1 to 120 matches the Rfam family "5.8S ribosomal RNA", at positions 35 to 154 of the family's 154-position model. The record is from RNAcentral.
GAUGAAGAACGCAGCGAAAUGCGAUAAGUAAUGUGAAUUGCAGAAUUCAGUGAAUCAUCGAGUCUUUGAACGCACAUUGCGCCCCCUGGUAUUCCGGGGGGCAUGCCUGCCCGAGCGUCAUUGCUGCCCUCAAGCACGGCUUGUGUGUUGGGCCUCCGUCCUCCUCCCGGGGGACGGGCCCGAAAGGCAGCGGCGGCACCGCGUCCGGUCCUCGAGCGUAUGGGGCUUCGUCACCCGCUCUUGUAGGCCCGGCCGGCGCUUGCCGACACAUCAAUCUUUUUUCCAGGUUGACCUCGGAUCAGGUAGGGAUACCCGCUGAACUUAAGCAUAUCAAUAAGCGGAGGA